AACGAACGCUGGCGGCAUGCCUAACACAUGCAAGUCGAACGAGACCUUCGGGUCUAGUGGCGCACGGGUGCGUAACGCGUGGGAAUCUGCCCUUGGGUUCGGAAUAACAGUUAGAAAUGACUGCUAAUACCGGAUAAUGUCUUCGGACCAAAGAUUUAUCGCCCAGGGAUGAGCCCGCGUAGGAUUAGCUAGUUGGUGAGGUAAAGGCUCACCAAGGCGACGAUCCUUAGCUGGUCUGAGAGGAUGAUCAGCCACACUGGGACUGAGACACGGCCCAGACUCCUACGGGAGGCAGCAGUGGGGAAUAUUGGACAAUGGGCGAAAGCCUGAUCCAGCAAUGCCGCGUGAGUGAUGAAGGCCUUAGGGUUGUAAAGCUCUUUUACCCGGGAUGAUAAUGACAGUACCGGGAGAAUAAGCCCCGGCUAACUCCGUGCCAGCAGCCG
RNAcentral lists this ribosomal RNA (443 nucleotides) under uncultured bacterium. RNAcentral describes it as "bacterial SSU rRNA". It matches the Rfam family "Bacterial small subunit ribosomal RNA", at positions 29 to 517 of the family's 1533-position model. The record is from RNAcentral.